RNAcentral lists this unclassified non-coding RNA (240 nucleotides) under fungal sp. RNAcentral describes it as "partial contains small subunit ribosomal RNA, internal transcribed spacer 1, and 5.8S ribosomal RNA". The stretch from base 1 to 46 matches the Rfam family "Eukaryotic small subunit ribosomal RNA", at positions 1786 to 1831 of the family's 1831-position model. RNAcentral also lists the same sequence under 2 other names. Lineage: Eukaryota; Fungi. The record is from RNAcentral.
AAGUCGUAACAAGGUCUCCGUUGGUGAACCAGCGGAGGGAUCAUUACAGAGUUGCAAAACUCCCAAACCAUCGUGAACGUUACCUACAUCGUUGCUUCGGCGGGUGGCGGGCUUCGGCCCUGCCCUCGGCCCCUCUCGGGGGCCCGCCGGAGGUACACCAAACUCUUGAAUUUACAUGGCCUCUCUGAGUCUUCUGUACUGAAUAAGUCAAAACUUUCAACAACGGAUCUCUUGGUUCUG